GUUCCCUUGGGAAGAGUCAGUGUGGUUUGUGGAAAACCAGUGGCACCAAAUCUCAUAGAACUGAAACCCUGAGAAAUCAAGUUGCUGUGUAGAGAAUAGCAAUGUGGCCUAGAAUUCAUUGCCCAGUCCACUGAGGGCAGUCCUCUGUCUACUACAUAAGGAUAUUUGUUUGGCUUAAAAAAAAAUUCAGAUUAUUUUCUUCUAUGGAGAAACGACCAUACCUUGAGACAUAGAAGUAAUUUUCUUCCAUGAAGUUUGGCAGACAUUCAAGUUCCAGGGCUCUGACUCCUCAUUCUGAGAUAAUUCCAUGGCACAGAUUCAAGAUGUUCACUAUUACUAUUACCAUAUUUUUCAUUCUCCUUCCUAAGAACAUAAUGCAAUGAUUAAAAAAUCCUGAG
Molecule: long non-coding RNA, 398 nt
Organism: Antechinus flavipes (yellow-footed antechinus)
Lineage: Eukaryota; Metazoa; Chordata; Mammalia; Dasyuromorphia; Dasyuridae
Exons: 3
Source: RefSeq, a predicted model, not a curated record